GAUGAACGCUGGCGGCGUGCCUAAUACAUGCAAGUCGAGCGAACAGACGAGGAGCUUGCUCCUCUGACGUUAGCGGCGGACGGGUGAGUAACACGUGGAUAACCUACCUAUAAGACUGGGAUAACUUCGGGAAACCGGAGCUAAUACCGGAUAAUAUAUUGAACCGCAUGGUUCAAUAGUGAAAGACGGUUUUGCUGUCACUUAUAGAUGGAUCCGCGCCGCAUUAGCUAGUUGGUAAGGUAACGGCUUACCAAGGCGGCGAUGCGUAGCCGACCUGAGAGGGUGAUCGGCCACACUGGAACUGAGACACGGUCCAGACUCCUACGGGAGGCAGCAGUAGGGAAUCUUCCGCAAUGGGCGAAAGCCUGACGGAGCAACGCCGCGUGAGUGAUGAAGAUCUUCGGAUCGUAAAACUCUGUUAUUAGGGAAGAACAAAUGUGUAAGUAACUAUGCACGUCUUGACGGUACCUAAUCAGAAAGCCACGGCUAACUACGUG
Molecule: ribosomal RNA, 497 nt
Filed under: uncultured bacterium
Lineage: Bacteria
Description: partial 16S ribosomal RNA
Rfam family: Bacterial small subunit ribosomal RNA
Source: RNAcentral